Molecule: ribosomal RNA, 403 nt
Filed under: Verrucomicrobiota bacterium
Lineage: Bacteria; Pseudomonadati; Verrucomicrobiota
Description: Verrucomicrobia bacterium partial 16S ribosomal RNA
Rfam family: Bacterial small subunit ribosomal RNA
Source: RNAcentral
UGGGGAAUAUUGCACAAUGGGGGAAACCCUGAUGCAGCGACGCCGCGUGAGCGAAGAAGGUUUUCGAAUCGUAAAGCUCUGUCCUAUGAGAAGAUAAUGACGGUAUCAUAGGAGGAAGCCCCGGCUAAAUACGUGCCAGCAGCCGCGGUAAUACGUAUGGGGCGAGCGUUGUCCGGAAUUAUUGGGCGUAAAGGGUACGUAGGCGGUCUAUUAAGUCAGGUGUGAAAGCGUGAGGCUUAACCUCAUUAAGCACUUGAAACUGAUAGACUUGAGUGAAGGAGAGGAAAGUGGAAUUCCUAGUGUAGCGGUGAAAUGCGUAGAUAUUAGGAGGAAUACCGGUGGCGAAGGCGACUUUCUGGACGAACACUGACGCUGAGGCGCGAAAGCCAGGGGAGCGAACGGG